CUUGGUCAUUUAGAGGAAGUAAAAGUCGUAACAAGGUUUCCGUAGGUGAACCUGCGGAAGGAUCAUUAAUGUAACCGGAGCGGCCCGUCGCAGGUGAGAGCCUGUCGCGGGUCGUGAAGGGAAAUAUCAUACACCCUGUGUUUAUUUGACCUUUGUCGCUUUGGCGGGCCGUCCGUAAGGACGUCGGCUCCGGCUGACCGCGCCCGCCAGAGGACCCAAACUCUUUUAUCAGUGAUGUCUGAGUACUAUAUAAUAGUUAAAACUUUCAACAACGGAUCUCUUGGCUCUGGCAUCGAUGAAGAACGCAGCGAAAUGCGAUAAGUAAUGUGAAUUGCAGAAUUCAGUGAAUCAUCGAAUCUUUGAACGCACAUUGCGCCCGCUGGUAUUCCGGCGGGCAUGCCUGUUCGAGCGUCAUUAUGACCAAUCAAGCUCUGCUUGGCCUUGGGGCCCGCUGCACCCGGCGGCCCUUAAAACCAGUGGCGGUGCCGUCUGGCUCUAAGCGUAGUAAUACUCCUCGCUACAGGGUCCAGCCGUCCACCCGCCAGAACCCCCAACUUUCUCAAGGUUGACCUCGGAUCAGGUAGGGAUACCCGCUGAACUUAAGCAUAUCAAUAAGCGGAGGAAAAGAAACCAACAGGGGUUGCCUCAGUAACGGCGAGUGAAGCGGCAACAGCUCAAAUUUGAAAUCUGCCUCUAGGCCGAAUUGUAAUUUGUAGAAGAUGCUUCGGGUGUGGCUCCGGUCUAAGUUCCUUGGAACAGGACGUCAUAGAGGGUGAGAAUCCCGUACGUGACUGGUGGCCUCCGCCCGUGUGAAGCUCUUUCGACGAGUCGAGUUGUUUGGGAAUGCAGCUCAAAAUGGGUGGUAUAUUUCAUCUAAAGCUAAAUAUUGGCCAGAGACCGAUAGCGCACAAGUAGAGUGAUCGAAAGAUGAAAAGCACUUUGGAAAGAGAGUUAAACAGUACGUGAAAUUGUUGAAAGGGAAGCGCUUGCAACCAGACUUGCGCGCCGUCGAUCAUCCGAGGUUUUCCCCGGUGCACUCGGCGGUGCUCAGGCCAGCAUCGGUUUCGGUGGUUGGAUAAAGGCCUUGGGAAUGUGGCUCCUCCGGGAGUGUUAUAGCCCUCGGUGCAAUGCAGCCUACCGGGACCGAGGACCGCGCUUCGGCUAGGAUGCUGGCGUAAUGGUUGUAAGCGACCCGUCUUGAAACACGGACC
This 1211-nucleotide ribosomal RNA is filed under the name uncultured fungus. RNAcentral's name for it is "eukaryotic LSU rRNA". The stretch from base 567 to 1211 matches the Rfam family "Eukaryotic large subunit ribosomal RNA", at positions 1 to 667 of the family's 3401-position model. Lineage: Eukaryota; Fungi. The record is from RNAcentral.